UAGCCGCCGCCACCCCUGUCCAUUCCCUACCUUUCUUCCUCGGUAUCCCCUUAUUCCUCCCAGAUCCAAUCCACCAGCCACUGCUCUCCAUCGCAUCACAACAUCGACCAACCACCGCACAGCCAGCCACCUCCCUGACCCAGCGCUCGAUCCAGAUGGGAUUGAGGCAACCACCGGUGUCCUCCUCGACGCCUCCCCUCGCGUUGUGCCGCCAGCCUCCUCUCCGGCCAGUCCCGUCCCCUGCUCCUACCCUUCGCCAUGGCCGCCCUGAGCUCCAGCCAUGGACAGCCGCUGCCGGAGCUCGUCUUCCCCGCCGUCGGCUAGAGCCCUAGGCCAGUGACCCAAGCCUCUUCCUUCCUUCCCUUUUCCCUCACGCACUCUCUUCCUCCUCCAUGACCUCUCUAUCUUCCUUGACGCCAUGGAAAGGAGCACUCAACCGUGGUACAGUCGACUCCGGUCCGUCCAGCGACCUCCGUGCCUCGUCGCCGAUCAGAUUCGUGCCUCCUCCGUCGUUUCCCACGCCGGACCCCGCUACUGCCUCCCCUGCUUCUGCUGCGCGAGGACGACGACGCAUCCAGCAAGCGCCCGCUCAUCCCAGCCACGUUGACCGCCUCCCUCCGAACUCACCGGCGUCACCACGGAGCUUCCCCGACCUCUCCUUCACUCUGACCCACGUCUCUGGUGGCCUUGUCGUCGUCGUCACCUAGGUGAGCAGCCUCUCCACCACAAACUUGCCUCUGCCUCCUCCUCUUUGCGUCCUGACCGCCGGCCUUGUUUUCCCCCAUAGGAGCUCGUCCGUUUCCCGAGAUCUCCACCGACCGCGCCCUUCGACGGGAACCACGUCGUCCGGCUCGUCCCGCCUCCUGCGGGCCUCCCCGUCGCCUGCCGGAGUUCCUGCUGCCGCCAUCGUCGUUCGAGGCUAGUGCCUCUGCUUCGAACCAGGGUGCCGACGCCUCCAGCGCCUGCGUUGACCGAGCACAGCCUAGCCGACCCAGUUCGCCUCUGCCUCACAGGGCCAAGCCCAUGGGUGAGCAGCCCCCUCCAACCCCUCUCCUGUGCUAUUUGGCCCAGACAGAUUUGGCCCAUUCUUGUUUUUUCCCGUUCCAGCGAAUUUAGCAUUAUUCCAGGAAUUACAGAAUUGCAGAAAACCCCUCAGACAUCAUGAAUAUAAUAACUAAUUAACCAUGCAUCGGAUUAAAAUAUUUUACAUAUGUAAAAUGCUUAGAAUUUUAUGUAGAUUAAUAAUUUGCCACUUUCAUCCAUGUUAAAAAUAUUUAAAUUGUUGUUUGCAUUUAUUUUGCAUAAUGUCAUGCUAAAAUAAUUUAUUUCCUAACUAAACAACCGUAGCUCCGAAUUAAAUAAACUUCAUAUGUAAAUGGGGUAGAAAAAUGCGUAGAUUAACUUGGUGCACUUAUUUUGGAUGUUUAUCAACAAUAAAAUAUGGUUUAGGGCAGAACAGUACCAAACUCGAAAAAUGCAUAUGAGGAUUUUCCGGAAUUGUUGUUUGUUAUUUCCGGCCUAAUUUAAACUUGCCUAAACAGGUAGUUUACUCAUGCUUCACCUCUUGCCAUGUUAACCAACAUUUAAUAUUGAUGAGUAGCUAAACGAGAAUGAACUAAAUAAUUGUUGUGCAUAUUGAGCUGCACUUAAUUUGUUUUAUUGUUUGUUGCACCUUGCCAUGCCAUGAAUCAUUAAACCGGACAUGCAUCACACUCGAUUGUGCAUCAUGCCAUGUUUAUGUGAUGAUCAUUUACUAUGUUGUUUGCUUCUUUCCGGUUGCGUUUCUCCUUGAUAGUUCCGGUUAUGUUGCGAUUUUGAGGAUCCGUCCGAGUACGUUGGUUCGUCUACUUCAUGGAUUCGGUCUUCUUCCUAGCGGGAUUUCAGGCAAGAUGACUGUCACCUUGGAUCCCACGACUGAGACGAGAUACGCGCGGCUACUAUCAGGGUGUCGGCACGUCGAGAGGUCUUGAUAGACUUGUUUUACCAUUGUCGAAAUGUCUUGUGCAUCGGGAUUCCGAGUCUGAUCGGAGGGUCCCGAGAUGGAGGAUUGUCUUCGCAGAUCGUGAGCUUGUCAUGGGCUAAGUUGGGACACCCCUGCAGGGUUUAAACUUCCGAGAGCCGUGCCCGCGUUUAUGUGGCAGAUGGGAAUUUUUAAUAUCUGGUUGUAGAGAACUUGACACCAGACCUGAAAUAAAAUACACCAAUUGCGUGCGUAACCGUGACGGUCUCUUUUCGAGUGAGUCGAGAAGAGAACACGGUGGGGUUAUGUUUGAACGUAAGUAGUUCAGGAUCACUUCUUGAUCAUUACUAGUUUGCGACCGAUUGCAUAGUUUCUCAUCUCACUCUUGUACUCGUAAGUUAGCCACCAUACAAAUGCUUAGUCGCUUGAUGCGACCUCACCACUUAUCCAUUCCAUUCCCACGAAGUUUGCUAGUCUUGCUACCCAUGGUAAUGGGAUUUCUGAGUCCUUGUGGCUCACAGAUUACUACAACAACAGUUGCAGGUACAGGUAAUGCGGUGAUCUCACGUGAGAGCGAGGCUUGAUUGCUUUUGGAGUUCUUCUUCUUCGAUCAAGGGAUAGGUUCCGGGUCGAGGAGCCUGGGCUAGCAGGGUGGAUGUCGUUCUUCCAUUUCGUUUGAUUUCAUACGUAGUCGGAUCCUGCUCUUCUGUAUGACGAUUGCUAUGUAUUGAUGAACUAUUGUAUUCAUGAUGUAGCUUGUGGCGAGUGUAAGCCUUUAUCUUGUAUUCUCACCUAUUCAGUACAUGGUAUGUGUAAUAAUAUCCACCUUGCUAUGCGCUCGAAAUGCGGUUGUGCCUCAAUCAUGAAUUCAUCACGUGAUUGGGAUAGAAUCGCAUCUUGGGUGUUACACCUGAGCACAGAUGCCGUGCCAGUCCUUAAUCAUGAGGCGGUCGUGGGUCGGCUCACAAGGGCAUACGACCUUCAUGGCGAUGAAGCACCGGGCAAACAGACGAUAAUCAUAAAGCAACUCAUGGAGUAAGGUAAAGCCAGUUCUGAUAGACGCAAGAAGGAUGCAUGCCACAAGGACGGACCCAUACGGCUUGGGGAUGAUGCAGCCCGAGGGGCACCCCCAACUGAACAAACCAAGAGAUGUCACCUGGC
This 3121-nucleotide long non-coding RNA is filed under the name Triticum aestivum (bread wheat). RNAcentral's name for it is "long non-coding RNA (TAES_LNC005345)". The record is from RNAcentral. Lineage: Eukaryota; Viridiplantae; Streptophyta; Magnoliopsida; Poales; Poaceae.